This 502-nucleotide ribosomal RNA is filed under the name uncultured bacterium. RNAcentral's name for it is "partial 16S ribosomal RNA". It matches the Rfam family "Bacterial small subunit ribosomal RNA", at positions 28 to 523 of the family's 1533-position model. The record is from RNAcentral.
GAUGAACGCUAGCGGCAGGCCUAACACAUGCAAGUCGAGGGGCAGCACAGAAACAGCAAUGUUUUGGUGGCGACCGGCGGACGGGUGCGUAACGCGUAUGCAACCUACCUUUAACAGGGGGAUAACGGAGAGAAAUUUCCACUAAUACCCCAUAACAUCGAUCAAGGCAUCUUGAUUGGUUGAAAACUCCGGUGGUUAAAGAUGGGCAUGCGUUGUAUUAGGUAGUUGGUGAGGUAAUGGCUCACCAAGCCUACGAUACAUAGGGGGACUGAGAGGUUAGCCCCCCACACUGGUACUGAGACACGGACCGGACUCCUACGGGAGGCAGCAGUGAGGAAUAUUGGUCAAUGGGGGCAACCCUGAACCAGCCAUGCCGCGUGCAGGAAGACGGCUCUAUGAGUUGUAAACUGCUUUUAAACAGAGAUAAAGCACAGUAUGUAUACUGUGUUGAAGGUACUGUAAGAAUAAGGAUCGGCUAACUCCGUGCCAGCAGCCGCAGUAA